Molecule: ribosomal RNA, 2560 nt
Filed under: Nadvornikia sorediata
Lineage: Eukaryota; Fungi; Ascomycota; Lecanoromycetes; Ostropales; Graphidaceae
Description: large subunit ribosomal RNA
Rfam family: Bacterial large subunit ribosomal RNA
Source: RNAcentral
AACGAAGUGAAUUGAAAUAUCUUAGUAACUUUAGGAAAAAAAAUCAAAUGAGAUUCUAUGAUUAGUGUGAAUGAAAAUAGAUCAGCCACAGUUUAUACAUGUUAUUUAUAGGUCAAAUAAACUAAAAAGAUGAUGAGUUUAUUAAUAAUAUGUGUAGAUGAUACAAGUAAAACGAAGUACACAUUUGUUUGAAAAUAGGGGACCCUUCCUCUAAGGCUAAAUAUAAUGUAUAAGCGAUAGUGAAAGUACCGAGAGGGAAAAGAUAAAAUAGUAAUUCUAUAAGCAGCUCGAAUAUAAGGUAAUUAAAUAUGAGAGCGUACCUUUUGUAUAAUGGGUCAGCAAGUUAAUAUUAGAUGCGAGCUUAAAAGGCGAAGAUAAACUAAUUAUGAUCUACUGAUAAGUAUCUAAUAUUAGACCCGAAGCCUAGUGAUCUUACCAUUAUCAGGAAUAAAGUCCGAACGGGUUAUUGUUGCAAAAAUAUCCGAUGAGUAAUGGUAAGUGAGUGAAAGACAAAACUGACUAGGAUAGCUGGUUUUCUACGAAACCUAUAUAGGUAGGCAGUUUAAUAAUAUCCAAGCAGGUACAGCGAUGUAAUCUUAAUACUCGACCUAAUAACUUUAGUAUUAUUGCGGGGACUUAAAAAUCUUACAAUUAAGUAUUUGCACUCGGAAGGGCUAAGAUAAAUAUUAAAUUGUCAGACAUAGUACGAUAAGGUUGUAUGUCUAAAGGGAAACAGCCCAGAACAAGAGCUAAUAAGGUUCCAAAAUUAUUGUUAAGUGAAAUGAAGGCAGUGUUUAUCAAAUUCGGCUAGGAAGUGGGCUUAGAAGCGGCCAUCUUUCAAAGAUCUCGUAACAGAGCACUAGUUAUUUAGAUAAGGGCGCCUAAGAUUUAACGGAUCUAAACAAUAUACCGAAACCUUGUCCAUAUAUAGCAAUAUAUGGGGUAGUAGAACAUAGGGUAAGUAUUAGACUUUAUUUUUUUAAGAAUUAAAAAUAUACAUCCCUACAGAUAAUGCUGACAUGAGUAACGAAAAAGGAAUAAAAACCUCGCCUUAAGCUUAUGGUUUUUUCAAUGUAACGGCCACUAAGUAUCAAUUCUAAAGAAUUAUACGAUGUAAAUAGCAUGAUUAUAAGAUAAAUAACACAUUAUAGUGUAAUGUGUUCAGGAAAAACUUAAGAUUAAUUUAACCGUACCUAAAAUCUAACACAAGUAAGCUAGUAGAGCAUACGAAGGCGUUUGAGUGAACAAUUAUAAAGGAACUCGGCAAAAUUGCUCCGUAACUUAGGGAGAAGGUGCGCCACUUAACUUGAUUAAUAUCAAGAAAAAUGGAGGAGGCAUAGAAUAGUGUUGUACGACUGUUUAAUUAAAACAAAGCACUUCGCUAAAAAGAUAAUUUGAUGUACGAAGUGUGAGCUCUGCCAAAUGCCGGCAGGCUAUGGUAUUUUACUUAACCUAAAAAGUUAGGAUUUUAAGGAAUCCCCGGUUAAUGGCGGCCUUACAGAUGAGGGUCCUAAGGUAGCGGAACACCCUGGCCGUUAAAUGCGGUCUUGCAUGAAUGAUUUAACGAUACAACAGCUGUCUCUAUAAUUGGCUCAGUGAAAUUGGAAUAACUGUGAAGAUACAGUUUACCUCUAGAUAGACGAGAAGACCCUAUGCAGCUUUACUGUUACUAGUUAUAGGGUAUAAUAAGUAGGUUUUAGAGUAUAAGGUAAUUAAUAUAAUAAUGAAACACCUUUAUCACACUGUUAUACUUUUUACCUUUUUUUAGGUACAAUUGCUGGAAGACAGUUUAUGCGGGGCACAGAUCCCAUAAAAAGUAACUGGGAAUAUCCAAGGUAAAUUAAGUAAAUUUCUAUAAGUAAGUUAUAUAUAAUUUACUUAUUAAUUUAACUUGUAAUUAGCUAUAUUAAUAUUUCUAAUCCAAUUAUUAUUCUAUUUAGCAUAGAAUUACAUAUUUUAAGUGAGAUUUUAACUAUCAAAGCGUAGUGAUAGUAUUAACAUUAUUUUAUAGUGGUGUUUUUUGUUAUUAAUUAGUAUUAAUGAUUUUUAUUAAUAUCAGACAAAACUGAAUGGUUUAAUCUUGCUAUACUGUUUAACUUACAAGUUAUUCAGUCGCGUAACGCGGGGCAUACGAUCACAAGAUGCGGAAAGGAAAGGUCUUGGGUUGUUGAAAAAGCUACGCUAGGGAUUAAGUCUUAGUCCUCCUAUGUAAUAUAAUUACAGGUUAUAUACUGGAUAAAUUUCAAAGAAUACUUUACAGUAGAUUUGAAGCGAAACAUCUAUAGAACAGGCUUAUUGCGCAAGAGAGUACAAAUUGAGUGCGCAGUUUGGCACCUCGAUGUCGGCUUAGCUUAUCCACAUGAAUGCAGGAAGCAUGAAGGGUCGGACUGUUCGUCCGUUAAAAAGCUACACGAGCUGGGUUAAAUACGUCGUGAGACAGUAUGGUUUCUAUCUUCUAGAGGAAAUUAGAGUAAAAAAGGAAUAGCCGCAUUUUACGAAAGGAACUGGGCAAUGUUAACCCUGGGUUAACAGUAUGUUAACCUCUUGUAUACCUGUUGUU